GGGUCAGUAGGUUGGUCGUGCCACCGGUACGUACUGGUCUCACUGAUUCCUCCUUCCUGAAGAACCGUAAUGCCAUCAAUUUGGUGUUGCGGGGAAACAGGACUGUUACUUUGAAAAAAUUAGAGUGUUUAAAGCAGGCUAACGCUUGAAUACAUUAGCAUGGAAUAAUGAAAUAGGACGAUCGAUCCUAUUUUGUUGGUUUCUAGGAUUGACGUGAUGAUUAAUAGGGAUAUUGGG
This 237-nucleotide ribosomal RNA is filed under the name Glomeromycotina sp. RNAcentral describes it as "partial small subunit ribosomal RNA". The stretch from base 40 to 237 matches the Rfam family "Eukaryotic small subunit ribosomal RNA", at positions 686 to 885 of the family's 1831-position model. The record is from RNAcentral. Lineage: Eukaryota; Fungi; Glomeromycota.